GGCACCAUGGCCGAGUGGUUAGGCAAAGGUCUGCAAAACCUUUUACAGUAGUUCAAAUCUACUUGGUGCCU
RNAcentral lists this transfer RNA (71 nucleotides) under Candidatus Shikimatogenerans bostrichidophilus. RNAcentral describes it as "tRNA-Cys". It matches the Rfam family "tRNA". From Rfam's summary of the family: Transfer RNA (tRNA) molecules are approximately 80 nucleotides in length. The record is from RNAcentral. Lineage: Bacteria; Pseudomonadati; Bacteroidota; Flavobacteriia; Flavobacteriales.